RNAcentral lists this ribosomal RNA (499 nucleotides) under uncultured archaeon. RNAcentral describes it as "bacterial SSU rRNA". It matches the Rfam family "Archaeal small subunit ribosomal RNA", at positions 812 to 1306 of the family's 1478-position model. The record is from RNAcentral.
CCGUGAAGCUGGCCACCUUGGGAAAGUACGGUCGCAAAGGCUGAAACUUAAAGGAAUUGGCGGGGGAGUACCACAACCGGUGGAGCCUGCGGUUUAAUUGGAUACAACGCCGGGAAUCUUACCGGAGGGGACAGCAGUAUGAAGGCCAGGCUAAAGACCUUGCCAGAUCAGCUGAGAGGAGGUGCAUGGCCGUCGCCAGUUCGUACCGUGAGGCAUCCUGUUUAGUCAGGCAACGAUCGAGACCCGCAGUCUUAUUUGCCAGCAUGCCCUUUGGGGUGUAUGGGUACAAUAAGACGACCGCCAGCGCUAAGCUGGGGGAAGGAGCGGGCUACGGUAGGUCAGCAUGCCCCGAAUCCUCCGGGAUACACGCGGGCUACAAUGGUCAGGACAAAAGGUACCGACCUCGAAAGAGUGAGGUAAUCCACAAACCUGAUCUCAGUCCGGAUCGAAGGCUGCAACUCGCCUUCGUGAAGAUGGAACUCGGUAGUAAUCGUGACUC